UACGUAGGGUGCAAGCGUUAAUCGGAAUUACUGGGCGUAAAGCGUGCGCAGGCGGCUUUGCAAGACAGAUGUGAAAUCCCCGGGCUCAACCUGGGAACUGCAUUUGUGACUGCAAGGCUAGAGUACGGCAGAGGGGGAUGGAAUUCCGCGUGUAGCAGUGAAAUGCGUAGAUAUGCGGAGGAACACCAAUGGCGAAGGCAAUCCCCUGGGCCUGCACUGACGCUCAUGCACGAAAGCGUGGGGAGCAAACAGG
This 253-nucleotide ribosomal RNA is filed under the name uncultured bacterium. Its description in RNAcentral is "partial 16S ribosomal RNA". It matches the Rfam family "Bacterial small subunit ribosomal RNA", at positions 524 to 776 of the family's 1533-position model. The record is from RNAcentral.